UUUGCUAGGGGAGCAUUUGCUGAGAAGGAUAUUAAUAAUAUCUGACCCUUAUUACUUGAACCGGGUAAUACCGGCGUAAGGAAGCAGUUUUAA
This 93-nucleotide non-coding RNA is filed under the name bovine gut metagenome. RNAcentral's name for it is "TPP riboswitch (THI element)". It matches the Rfam family "TPP riboswitch aptamer (THI element)", at positions 6 to 99 of the family's 105-position model. Rfam says of the family: Vitamin B(1) in its active form thiamin pyrophosphate (TPP) is an essential coenzyme that is synthesised by coupling of pyrimidine and thiazole moieties in bacteria. The previously detected thiamin-regulatory element, thi box was extended, resulting in a new, highly conserved RNA secondary structure, the THI element, which is widely distributed in eubacteria and also occurs in some archaea. Analysis of operon structures identified a large number of new candidate thiamin-regulated genes, mostly transporters, in various prokaryotic organisms. The record is from RNAcentral.